RNAcentral lists this ribosomal RNA (468 nucleotides) under uncultured bacterium. RNAcentral describes it as "partial 16S ribosomal RNA". It matches the Rfam family "Bacterial small subunit ribosomal RNA", at positions 28 to 507 of the family's 1533-position model. The record is from RNAcentral.
GACGAACGCUGGCGGCGUGCUUAACACAUGCAAGUCGAACGGAAAGGCCCUGCUUUUGUGGGGUGCUCGAGUGGCGAACGGGUGAGUAACACGUGAGUAACCUGCCCUUGACUUUGGGAUAACUUCAGGAAACUGGGGCUAAUACCGGAUAGGAGCUCCUGCUGAAUGGUGGGGGCUGGAAAGUUUCGGCGGUUGGGGAUGGACUCGCGGCUUAUCAGCUUGUUGGUGGGGUAGUGGCUUACCAAGGCUUUGACGGGUAGCCGGCCUGAGAGGGUGACCGGCCACAUUGGGACUGAGAUACGGCCCAGACUCCUACGGGAGGCAGCAGUGGGGAAUAUUGCACAAUGGGCGGAAGCCUGAUGCAGCAACGCCGCGUGCGGGAUGACGGCCUUCGGGUUGUAAACCGCUUUCGCCUGUGACGAAGCGUGAGUGACGGUAAUGGGUAAAGAAGCACCGGCUAACUACGUG